RNAcentral lists this long non-coding RNA (215 nucleotides) under Solanum tuberosum (potato). Its description in RNAcentral is "long non-coding RNA (STUB_LNC001485)". Lineage: Eukaryota; Viridiplantae; Streptophyta; Magnoliopsida; Solanales; Solanaceae. The record is from RNAcentral.
AGGACAUAUAAAAUGAAUAAUAGACAUAAUGUGUAUCUGCCAUACAAAUACUUGUAACAUGUAUAAUGUAGGAUAUUAUUGACUCAAUGAUCCUCAUUUGACUUGGUGGAUAACUCAUGAAAUUUUCUGUUUAGAGUACCUUUGUCAUAAUAAUACUUGAAAGUAUAAACACACCAAUAUUGGAGAAUGAACACGCAUAGAAGUAGCUUGACACA